This 85-nucleotide transfer RNA is filed under the name Corallorhiza cf. striata 'CA'. Its description in RNAcentral is "tRNA-Leu". It matches the Rfam family "tRNA". From Rfam's summary of the family: Transfer RNA (tRNA) molecules are approximately 80 nucleotides in length. Their secondary structure includes four short double-helical elements and three loops (D, anti-codon, and T loops). Further hydrogen bonds mediate the characteristic L-shaped molecular structure. tRNAs have two regions of fundamental functional importance: the anti-codon, which is responsible for specific mRNA codon recognition, and the 3' end, to which the tRNAs corresponding amino acid is attached (by aminoacyl-tRNA synthetases). tRNAs cope with the degeneracy of the genetic code in two manners: having more than one tRNA (with a specific anti-codon) for a particular amino acid; and 'wobble' base-pairing, i.e. permitting non-standard base-pairing at the 3rd anti-codon position. Lineage: Eukaryota; Viridiplantae; Streptophyta; Magnoliopsida; Asparagales; Orchidaceae. The record is from RNAcentral.
GGGGAUAUGGCGGAAUUGGUAGACGCUACGGACUUAAAAUCCGUCGAAUUUUGAAAUCGUGAGGGUUCGAGUCCCUCUAUUCCCA